UGGGGAAUAUUGGGCAAUGGGGGCAACCCUGACCCAGCGACGCCGCGUGGGGGAAGACGGCCUUCGGGUUGUAAACCUCUUUUGUACGGGAAGAAGGAAGUGACGGUACUGUACGAAUAAGUCCCGGCUAACUACGUGCCAGCAGCCGCGGUAAUACGUAGGGGACGAGCGUUGUCCGGAAUUACUGGGCGUAAAGGGCGCGCAGGCUGUGCUGCAAGUCAGCUGUUAAAUGUCUGGGCUUAACCCGGGCAUGCGGUUGAGACUGCAGUGCUGGAGUGCAGUAGAGGCAAGUGGAAUUCCCAGUGUAGCGGUGAAAUGCGUAGAUAUUGGGAAGAACACCGGUGGCGAAGGCGACUUGCUAGGCAGCGACUGACGCUGAGGCGCGAAAGCCAGG
This 394-nucleotide ribosomal RNA is filed under the name uncultured bacterium. RNAcentral describes it as "bacterial SSU rRNA". It matches the Rfam family "Bacterial small subunit ribosomal RNA", at positions 355 to 764 of the family's 1533-position model. The record is from RNAcentral.